RNAcentral lists this long non-coding RNA (1447 nucleotides) under Homo sapiens (human). RNAcentral describes it as "non-protein coding lnc-LRRC40-6:1". Lineage: Eukaryota; Metazoa; Chordata; Mammalia; Primates; Hominidae. The record is from RNAcentral.
AUGGCCAAGAAAAGAUGCCUAAAAAAGCCCUUUCAGAUUAGCCUUGAAGACUAAAAGAAAUGAAGAAAAACUUGGCAGAAAUUGGUAAAUGACAAAUUUUUUGUAGAUAUGCUAUGCUAAAUAAUCACCGACACUUGUAUAUUAUUGAAAAUUAGCUGGACAACAAUGGAAUGUUAGUUUGAGAUUUGGGAAAUGAAAAACCCAAAGUGAGGUAAGUCCAAGAUAUCAUCCAACAUGAGAAAAGAACGUUACUACCUCCCACGUCAGCUAUUUGCUUCAAAAGAUAAACGUAUUUCAGAAGAAACAGAAGAUCGUGCUCAAAACCAGGAAAUAUGUCCCUUUGAAAUGGACUCCAACAGUAAUGACAACUCCAAGGUUCAUUUGGGAAGGGUUUAUACAAGUUCCUCUUCAGGAAACUGACCUUCUAGGAUAAGGAAUGUCAUUCCAAAUAGAAGAAUCAAUACCUGCUAUUCCUCAGGACAAACUAAAAAUUGAUAUUGACUAUUCUAGUUGAACAUAAUCUACUGACAAUGUCUUUGAUAGAACUGUACCUAAUCUAAUCAUUUGGCAGGAAAAUCUUUUCAAUGGGAAAAAAAUUAGAUUUGCUGGGCUUCUAGUAAACACACACACACUAGAAAAUGUAGAACAAAAUGUUUUUCAAUGAAAUAAGGACAAAAUUAACCCAUCAUCAAGGCUGAUUCACCUAGGAAGACUUAUAAAUCAAAAGUAGUCAUUUUUGAUCCUAAAUAUGAACAAGCUAAAGCUAAGCUUAGAGAUGCAUAAGGCAGAAAAAGUGACAGUAGGAACCAAUCAAAAUGUAUAUCAAGGUAUAAAGGGAAGAAAAAUGAAAAUUAAAAAAACUUUCUAAAAAUAUUGGGAGGGGCCUGUCAUUUUUAGCAAUGCUUACAAUUUUAAUUUUGUGUUAUAUCACUCCUUUAUAAUAAAAUAAAAUGAGAAAUUAUUCUAAAAGAGAAGAAAGUAGCAAUGAGUCUGAGAUGAGCCCUAGUGAACCAAGUCCAGGAGAUUAUUAAAAUGACUUUUACUUGCCUUCCAAAAACAUAAACAAGUACACUCAAAAUCUUGCCAAAGAAUCAGACAGGAGCCCAAUUACCAUGCUUCCAUCCAGAAGAGCAUUAAACCAUACUUCACUGGGUUUUAAAUAUAGAAAAGUAGACUGAAUAUUCCAAACCAACAAAAAUUCGCAUCGCUGGACCACCUGAAACUCUUCAGUCACUUCAUUUCAUUCUGAAGAGUAUCACCAAUGUCUAUUUAUCUCCUAUAGUCAAAUCAUAAAACCAAAUGUUUCUCCAAAAAAUAAUGAAGCCCAGCAUUGACAACCUAAGUGUAGGUGCACAGCCAGCAUGAACUAUAAGGAACCCAAAGUCACUUUGAAACUGACAAGAUGGCACCUGUUAAAAUUUGUUUCUUGAAAUCUUCUAUUUCCCAA